GACGAACGCUGGCGGCGUGCCUAACACAUGCAAGUCGAACGGGCUCCAUCUUGUGGCAACACUUGAGAAGAGCUAGUGGCGAACGGGUGAGUAACACGUGAAGAACCUGCCCCGAAGACCGGGAUAAGCCGAGGAAACUUGGUCUAAUACCGGAUACCCCCAUCUGAUCGCAUGUUCGGAUGAGGAAAUGGAUUCCGCUU
Molecule: ribosomal RNA, 200 nt
Filed under: uncultured bacterium
Lineage: Bacteria
Description: partial 16S ribosomal RNA
Rfam family: Bacterial small subunit ribosomal RNA
Source: RNAcentral